GUACAAGGUCGAGGAGGAAUGAAAAUUAACAAAUAAAUGUAAACAUAACCCUAAAGUGUCAGAGCCACCAAGUGUCAAACCAGUAUGCAAGGACUUGUUAAAAGAAGCAAAUUAGCAGUUAAGAGAGCUGAAUUGCAACUGAAAAUGAAAAAGGGAAGAAAAGAAGGGAAACAGGGAACAGCACACAGUCACAUCAUCAGAAAGAACCUUACAAUUACCAGAGAGAGACGUCGUGCAUGAGUUGAAUUAAAGAAUAUUAAAGAAGAAUGAGAAUAAUAUGAAAAUGUCCAAGGAAUAUCAAGGACGUACAGGCAACAAAUCAAGAAUCAAGAAAUCAAGAAGGCGAUAAUGAAAUAAAAUAAAAUAGCGAUAAACAGUGAUGGCGUGGCACAGAUAAAGUAUAAAAAUAUAAACCGAAUGGAGGAAACCAUAAAUAAGUACAUUAAACAUAUUAAUACCAUCCACGACACUCCGUACCAUCAUGAAGAUCAAAAUAAGCUACAUCAUAUCAAUUACUUUAAUUCAAUUCA
This is a long non-coding RNA of Osmia bicornis bicornis, 530 nucleotides long. RefSeq lists it as uncharacterized. The record is from RefSeq and is a predicted model, not a curated record. The transcript is spliced from 3 exons. Lineage: Eukaryota; Metazoa; Arthropoda; Insecta; Hymenoptera; Megachilidae.